UGAGGAAUAUUGGACAAUGGGCGCAAGCCUGAUCCAGCAAUGCCGCGUGCUGGAUGAAGGCCUUCGGGUUGUAAACUGCUUUUGUACGGAACGAAAAGGCUCUGGUUAAUACCUGGGGCUCAUGACGGUACCGUAAGAAUAAGCACCGGCUAACUACGUGCCGGCAGCCGCGGUAAUACGUAGGGUGCAAGCGUUAAUCGGAAUUACUGGGCGUAAAGCGUGCGCAGGCGGUUAUGUAAGACAGAUGUGAAAUCCCCGGGCUCAACCUGGGACCUGCAUUUGUGACUGCAUAGCUAGAGUACGGCAGAGGGGGAUGGAAUUCCGCGUGUAGCAGUGAAAUGCGUAGAUAUGCGGAGGAACACCGAUGGCGAAGGCAAUCCCCUGGGCCUGUACUGACGCUCAUGCACGAAAGCGUGGGGAGCAAACA
RNAcentral lists this ribosomal RNA (427 nucleotides) under uncultured bacterium. RNAcentral describes it as "bacterial SSU rRNA". It matches the Rfam family "Bacterial small subunit ribosomal RNA", at positions 355 to 774 of the family's 1533-position model. The record is from RNAcentral.